Long non-coding RNA from Lycium ferocissimum, 1259 nucleotides. RefSeq lists it as uncharacterized. NCBI's taxonomy places the organism in Eukaryota, Viridiplantae, Streptophyta, Magnoliopsida, Solanales, Solanaceae. The record is from RefSeq and is a predicted model, not a curated record. The transcript has 4 exons.
UAUUUGAUACCAGAAUUAGGGCUCCAAAGAGCAAAGGUAACUACUACGAUAUUUCCUGUCAAUUUUGUAGUCUUGCAAGUUGAGAUUAGGGCUUCAAGUAAUUUAAACCUGUUGACUUAUUCGGAUAAAUUGGAUUUCAAUGUUGCAGUAAGCUUGAAUUUCUCCCGUUUUCCUUUUACAAUGACGAAUUUUGCAAUUCCAUUUGAAAUGGAAAAAAAAUCAGUUCUGAUUUGGGGGAAAGAAUUAGCCUUUUCAAUUUCAUCUUAAAUGAUUGGUAUUCAAAAUCGCAUUUAGUAUGAACUGGCAAUAUUGGGGUGAAUUUUCACGUCAACUAAACCCUAGAAAGGAUUUAGGGAUUUGGACUGCAGCUUUCUCACGGGAAAUCUUCCCUCGACAAGUUGUUGAACAAAUUCGAGUGCUCUUUGUCAGGGUUGAAAUUCUAAUAUUUGAACCCACAUGCCCUAAAUGUUGUUAUACUAUUGGCUAAGCCACUACGUUAUACAGGGAGGGGGUUGUGGUCUUUUAAGGGAUAUUAUGGGCAUCUUCAAGGUUUACUAGAUAACAAGAGACGACCGUUUGAUUGAUGUUUUGAGCUCGACCCACCUGAUAUUGAAAUGAGAUGUUCUUUCGUGGUGAAUGUUCAUUCUAGAGUAAGACUUAUUAAAACUGAAAGUUGUUAUGAUAUUUAUCCGUUUUCAACAGCAAGGGAAUAUUUUUUUGUUUUUGUUUUGGGACUCUUCUAGAAUCUUGAAACAUUUCAAACUGAAUGUAGUUGGUAGUUUAAGUAAUUGGUAGAAUUUUUUUGUGUACAAGUACUGUUGGAGGUUUGGGACUUUUCCUGUAUGUGAUGGAAGCCAUGUGAAGCAGCAACUGCAGAUUUGUUGGAUUCCUAUCCUGAAGAAGCAGUAAGCCGCGUGGAAGCGGAAAGAAAAAAAAAGAUGAAGGUGGAGGCUUAUCGAAGGAUAUCAUGGCUAGAAGAUGUUGGAGUUGGUUUCAUUUUUUUAUUUAUGUGAUCUGGGCAUAGAGAGGCUUCACUUGAAAAGGGAUCUAAGGUCUUCUAAGAUGGGAACUGCUUGCCAAGAAGGAUUUUGAAGAUAGUUUUGUGAUUCCUUUUUUUUUUUUUUUUUUUCCCACCUGUAUAUACAAUGACGAUAUAUUAUCACAUGUUGUGUACAGUUUACAUUUAUGACUAUUAAGUAAUGGAAUGUUUUUUAAUAGUCUUUUUAAGAAAUGCUUUAUAUCACCUUUGUAAUGGUAAA